UAAUAGCGUAUAUUAAAGUUGUUGCAGUUAAAAAGCUCGUAGUUGAAUGUUGGUGUCGAACGAGCGGUCAGCUUCGGCUGUACUGCUCUCUCGACUCCUUCCUUCUGUGGACUACGUCGCACUUUACUGUGUGGCGCUAGGACGCAGAUCGUUUACUGUGAAAAAAUUAGAGUGUUCAAAGCAGGCCGUACGCUUGAAUACAUUAGCAUGGAAUAAUGGAAUAGGACGUCGGGCCUAUUUUGUUGGUUCUAGGACCGUCGUAAUGAUUAAUAGGGACAGUUGGGGCCGUUUAUAUUCCGUAGUCAGAGGUGAAAUUCUUGGAUUUACGGAAGAUAAACUACUGCGAAAGCAUUCGGCAAGGAUGUUUUCGUUAA
Molecule: ribosomal RNA, 374 nt
Filed under: uncultured eukaryote
Lineage: Eukaryota
Description: partial 18S ribosomal RNA
Rfam family: Eukaryotic small subunit ribosomal RNA
Source: RNAcentral